CUGACUUCCCUACCUCUCAAAUGGGGAUGCAGCACCUCCCUCCAUGUCACCAAUGAGUCACCAAGACAGGGAUUGGAAGGGGGAACUGUUCCCGCUGGGGGUUCUUUGGGACCUGGGAGUGUCGGGGGUGGGGCUAGGGGAUGGUCGGUCUAGGAGUCGCUCAACGUCGUCGCGUGCACCAGGCUCCAGGCCUUUUUCCAGACGCCUACCACAGCAUGGCUUGCCAAGCGGUGCCAUGUCCGCACCCGCAAUCCGAACCGGGGAACCCCGGGCCACCAAAGCAGAAUGUGCGCACCCAACCACUGCGCCACCGGGCCGGCCCCCAUGGCAGGCUUUUGAGCAGAGGAGUGACAUGGCAGAUCUGAGCACCACAGCCACAGAGUGAUGAUGGCCUGGAGGGCAGACUGGCGCAGGGAGACAGUGAGGAGGCGGCACAGGGUCCUGGUGAUGAUACAAGACCCUAGUCUGAAUUACAUCCGCGAAGACUCUUUUUCCGAACAAGGUCGCAGUCACAGGUUCCAGGCGGACCUGCCCUCUAGGGGCCACCAUGCACCAAGAUCCUAAACUCUGAUCCCAGCGCUCCAUGCCAGACAGAGAGUAUUUUCCCCUUUCCCGUCCUUGCUGAGUUCGCAGUCCCUCCAGUCCUGCCUUCUUCUAGCAGGGACGCGCCCUGUCUUGACCCUUCCGCCCCCAGGGCGCAGAAGUGGCCACCUCCCGGCUGGCUCAGUUUCCAGCGCCCUCACGGGCUGGGACCCGGCCGGACCUGCGGGGGGCGGGCGCCCCCGUGUGUCCGCCUCGGAGCGGAGCGGACGGAGGCUGCAGGCGGGUCCCUGCCCUGCGGACAAGUCGCGGCCGCCGACAGAGCGCCUGCUGCCCGCCUGCCCCGCCGUGCACAUCGGGCGCUGCGGGCCUCAGGAUGAAUGGGGUUAUUACCCCCACUUUUCAGACUGGGAGACCCCGGCUUGGAGACACUGUGACUUGCCAAGGUCACACAGCCUUCUACUCCGUCUGACUCGAACGCCGCGAAAACCAGACAGAAAUGGUGGUUCCAACAAGAAGGACCCAAAACUAAAACUAUGCAACUAUGUACCAGGGGGCUUUGGGGACGAAAAAGAAAAAUAAAAUCCUUAAAAGAAAGAAGAAAAAAGAAACGGUGGUUCAUAGUGAGAUUUCAUUCAAAAUACCGGUUUCCACUUCACCUCCAGUAGAUCGCAAAAAGAAACUGACCGCAUCAAGUGUGGGUGCAGCUGUGGGAUGCACGCACCACCGCGGGGGCUGUGAACUGGUACAAGCACGUGGCAAGACUGCUCAGCAGAGCUCCUGAGACUGAGCACACGCUAAGCCCAUGACCAAGCAAGCCCGCUGUCGGUAUGAACUCAAGAGAAAUGCUGUGCAUGUUCAUCAGAAGACGUGUGCAUGAAUGCUCGCAGCAGCAGUAUCUGUAACAGCCCCCAAACAGGAAUGACCCAAAUGCCCAUUAAACAGGAUAUUCACACAACGCAAUACCAUUCAGUAAUGAGAACGGACAGUGUGCAAAUACACGUGCCUGCAUGGAGGAAUCUCGCUGACGCGUGGUGAAUGAAAGAGACCGCAGAUAUGAAAGAACACAAAUGGGUGCAACCGAUCCAUGGCGACAGAGGACAGAGAGGAGUCGCCCCUGGAGGAGUCUUGACUGGGCCCUGGAAAUGCUGAGCAUCUUGGUCUGGGUGGUGCUCACCUGGGUGUAUACACAGGUAAACAACCAGUGAGCUCCCACUGAAGAUCUGUGCACCUUACUGUGUUUUAUACCCAAGUAUAAAAAUUUUAAAAGCUUUACAAAAAGCUUUGAGGCGUCAGGUCACCUCGACCCAGGACUUGGAGACUGAAUCUGCUAUGCACAGGCAGAGCAGGCUCCUUGGCUGGCACCUUGAUCCAGCCCCUGUCACCUGCUGUGGCAGAAGAAAUUUUCCAAAAACAUCUGGCACAGUGUUUCCCACUCGACACGUGUUCUGAAACUUCGCUACUCCUCCAACAAGAGGUACAGUCUAUGCCCUGCCCCCCCAUCCCCUCCUGACUCCACCCCCAGCCUGGGCGAGCUUUGACUGCUUUGACCAAUAGAGCAUGACAGAAAUGACACUGGCUGACUUCCAGGGCCAGGUCAUGAAGAGCAGUGGCUUCCUCUGUCUCUCUUUGGAGACCCAUCUUUGAAACCACCAUAUAGGAAGCUGGCUGCCCUGAUGCCACCAUGCUGUAGAGACCAUGCAGUGACCAUAGAAAGAGAGCGAGGUGCCUGGGGAGCCCCAGCUGUCUGGCCUCUAGCUGCCCUUUGAGGUGUCCCAGCUGAUGCCAUGUGAGCAGAGAGGAGCAGAGCAACUGAACUACAGAUUCAGGAGCUAAAUAAAUGGUGCCUGUUGUUUUGUGCUGCAAGGUUUCGGGUGGGUUGAUAUGCAACAAGAGGUAACCGGAACACCAGGUAACUUUCUUGCCCAGUGCUCCCUCCAGGCCCUCUCUACUCCACCCCUGCCAGCCGCACAGGUACACUCAGUUCCCUGCCACAGGAGCAAAGUCCCCUGUCUGUGCCACAGGAAUCUGCUCCACUCUUCCAGACCUGGCUUCUUCCCUGCCUCCUCCAGGGAGCCCUCCUGUCUGCAGCGUUGGGCAGUCUUUAAAAUCAAGCUGAUGGUGGAGGAUGAUGAUAAUGGAGGAGGCUAUGCAUGUGGGGGGACAGGGGGCAGAUGGGAAAUCUCUGUAUCUUCUGCUCAAUUUUGCUGUGAACCUAAACUGCUCUAAAAUAUAAAAUCUAUCAA
Molecule: long non-coding RNA, 2786 nt
Filed under: Equus asinus (donkey)
Lineage: Eukaryota; Metazoa; Chordata; Mammalia; Perissodactyla; Equidae
Description: lncRNA (ENSEASG00005035681.1)
Source: RNAcentral